Molecule: ribosomal RNA, 253 nt
Filed under: uncultured bacterium
Lineage: Bacteria
Description: partial 16S ribosomal RNA
Rfam family: Bacterial small subunit ribosomal RNA
Source: RNAcentral
UACAGAGGGUGCGAGCGUUAAUCGGAAUUACUGGGCGUAAAGCGCGCGUAGGCGGUUUGGAAAGUCAGAUGUGAAAGCCCCGGGCUCAACUUGGGAACUGCAUUUGAUACUGCCAGACUAGAGUACAGAAGAGGUGACUGGAAUUCCCAGUGUAGCGGUGAAAUGCGUAGAUAUUGGGAGGAACACCAGAUGCGAAGGCGGGUCACUGGGACGGUACUGACGCUGAGACGCGAAAGCGUGGGGAGCAAACAGG